UACGUAGGCAGCAAGCGUUGUUCGGAGUUACUGGGCGUAAAGGGUGCGUAGGCGGCCCUGUAAGUAUGGUGUGAAAUCUCCCGGCUUAACUGGGAGGGUGCGCUAUAGACUGCGGGGCUCGAGUGUGGGAGAGGAAAAGUGGAAUUCCUGGUGUAGCGGUGAAAUGCGUAGAUAUCAGGAGGAACACCGGUGGUGUAAACGGCUUUUCUGGACCAUAACUGACGCUGAGGCACGAAAAGCGUGGGGUAGCAAAACAGG
Molecule: ribosomal RNA, 258 nt
Filed under: uncultured bacterium
Lineage: Bacteria
Description: partial 16S ribosomal RNA
Rfam family: Bacterial small subunit ribosomal RNA
Source: RNAcentral